RNAcentral lists this ribosomal RNA (517 nucleotides) under Brachyspira aalborgi. RNAcentral describes it as "bacterial SSU rRNA". It matches the Rfam family "Bacterial small subunit ribosomal RNA", at positions 106 to 640 of the family's 1533-position model. The record is from RNAcentral. Lineage: Bacteria; Pseudomonadati; Spirochaetota; Spirochaetia; Brachyspirales; Brachyspiraceae.
GUGAGUAACACGUAGGUAAUCUGCCGUAGAGUGGGGGAUAACCCAUGGAAACAUGGACUAAUACCGCAUAUACUCUUGACGCUAAAGCGUAGUAGAGGAAAGGAGCAAUCCGCUUUACGAUGAGCCUGCGGCCUAUUAGCCUGUUGGUGAGAUAAAAGCCCACCAAAGCUACGAUAGGUAGCCGACCUGAGAGGGUGACCGGCCACAUUGGGACUGAGAUACGGCCCAGACUCCUACGGGAGGCAGCAGCUGAGAAUCUUCCACAAUGGACGAAAGUCUGAUGGAGCGACAUCGUGUGAGGGAUGAAGGCCUUCGGGUUGUAAACCUUGGAAAUUAUCGAAGAAUGAGUGACAGUAGAUAAUGUAAGCCUCGGCUAACUACGUGCCAGCAGCCGCGGUAAUACGUAGGAGGCAAACGUUGCUCGGAUUUACUGGGCGUAAAGGGUGAGUAGGCGGAACUAUAAGUCUAAGGUGAAAUAUCGAAGCUCAACUUCGGAGACGCCUCGGAUACUGUGGUU